Chiloscyllium plagiosum (whitespotted bambooshark) is the source of this 271-nucleotide non-coding RNA. The record is from RefSeq and is a predicted model, not a curated record. Lineage: Eukaryota; Metazoa; Chordata; Chondrichthyes; Orectolobiformes; Hemiscylliidae.
CAGAGCCCAGAAUUAGCAAUAUUGGACAGGAUUUUAUGGAUAUCUCUCCAACCAGUUGGUUAUCCUUCCCUACCACUCCUAGAGAAGGUAAAGCUCUGUGGAACAAAGGUUACAGUGAGACAGCUACUGAUGAAUCACUGAAAAGGAGAAACCACAGACACGAGCAACUGAAAAGGCAGCAUUACACUAUCCCUUCCUGGAAUCCUUCUUCUCUUAGACUGGAGGCCUGUGACCAGUGGAGUGCCAGAAGGAUCGGUGCUGAGUCCACUAC